GGAAUUACUGGGCGUAAAGCGCGCGUAGGCGGCUCUUUAAGUCGGAUGUGAAAGCCCCGGGCUCAACCUGGGAACUGCAUCCGAUACUGGGGAGCUAGAGUGUAGGAGAGGGAGGUAGAAUUCCAUGUGUAGCAGUGAAAUGCGUAGAUAUAUGGAGGAAUACCAGUGGCGAAGGCGGCCUCCUGGCUUAACACUGACGCUGAGGUGCGAAAGCGUGGGGAGCAAACGGGAUUAGAUACCCCGGUAGUCCACGCCGUAAACGAUGUCUACUAGCUGUAGGGGUACUUGAGACCUUUGUAGCGCAGCUAACGCACUAAGUAGACCGCCUGGGGAGUACGGCCGCAAGGUUAAAACUCAAAUGAAUUGACGGGGGCCCGCACAAGCAGUGGAGCAUGUGGUUUAAUUCGAUGCAACGCGAAGAACCUUACCAGGCCUUGACAUCCUCGGAACUUUCUAGAAAUAGAUUGGUGCCUUCGGGAACCGAGUGACAGGUGCUGCAUGGCUGUCGUCAGCUCGUGUCGUGAGAUGUUGGGUUAAGUCCCGUAACGAGCGCAACCCUUGUCCUUAGUUGCCAGCACAUAAUGGUGGGAACUCUAAGGAGACUGCCGGUGACAAACCGGAGGAAGGUGGGGACGACGUCAAGUCAUCAUGGCCCUUACGGCCUGGGCUACACACGUGCUACAAUGGCUAGGACAGACGGCCGCAAACCCGCGAGGGGGAGCUAAUCCGACAAACCUAGUCGUAGUCCGGAUCGGAGUCUGCAACUCGACUCCGUGAAGUCGGAAUUGCUAGUAAUCGCGAAUCAGAAUGUCGCGGUGAAUACGUUCCCGGGCCUUGUACACACCGCCCGUCACACCAUGGGAGUGGGUUGCUCCAGAAGUGGUUAGUCUAACCUUCGGGAGGACGAUCACCACGGAGUGAUUCAUGACUGGGGUGAAGUCGUAACAAGGUAGCCCUAGGGGAACCUGGGGCUG
Molecule: ribosomal RNA, 974 nt
Filed under: marine metagenome
Description: bacterial SSU rRNA
Rfam family: Bacterial small subunit ribosomal RNA
Source: RNAcentral